GCUUUCUCUGGCGGUGGUAAUUCUGUUGAUUUUUUUCUUUAUGUCACUGAUGUUUCCUGGUGCCUUGCUUGACCAGUGAAGGACAGUCCUUGCUUGACCAGUGAAGGAUAAGGUCCCCAGGCUUUGCCGACCAGUUCCUCAUCCUGCGAACCAUCUCCUGUUUUCAUAGCCUCCUCUCAGUCCCCUGGCAGCCUGCACCUGCUGCUUCCCCAUCAAGCUGUACCUUCCCCGACAGCCAGGGAUGAUGGCCAAGAACCAGCUCGGUCUCUCACAGGUUUGAUUGUCACAUCUUACACGUCACUGCUCAGGUCCAAUCUCAAUGAAUUAUUUGGUGCGCUGACA
Molecule: long non-coding RNA, 342 nt
Organism: Myotis davidii
Lineage: Eukaryota; Metazoa; Chordata; Mammalia; Chiroptera; Vespertilionidae
Exons: 2
Source: RefSeq, a predicted model, not a curated record